GACGAACGCUGGCGGCGUGCCUAAUACAUGCAAGUCGAGCGAAGUUUUUCUGGUGCUUGCACUAGAAAAACUUAGCGGCGAACGGGUGAGUAACACGUAAAGAACCUGCCUCAUAGACUGGGACAACUAUUGGAAACGAUAGCUAAUACCGGAUAACAGCAUUAACUGCAUGGUUGAUGUUUAAAAGUUGGUUUUGCUAACACUAUGAGAUGGCUUUGCGGUGCAUUAGCUAGUUGGUGGGGUAAAGGCCUACCAAGGCGACGAUGCAUAGCCGACCUGAGAGGGUGAUAGGCCACACUGGGACUGAGACACGGCCCAGACUCCUACGGGAGGCAGCAGUAGGGAAUCUUCCGCAAUGGGCGAAAGCCUGACGGAGCAACGCCGCGUGAGUGAAGAAGGAUUUCGGUUCGUAAAGCUCUGUUGUUAGGGAAGAAUGAUUGUGUAGUAACUAUACACGGUAGAGACGGUACCUAACCAGAAAGCCACGGCUAACUACGUG
RNAcentral lists this ribosomal RNA (499 nucleotides) under uncultured bacterium. Its description in RNAcentral is "partial 16S ribosomal RNA". It matches the Rfam family "Bacterial small subunit ribosomal RNA", at positions 28 to 507 of the family's 1533-position model. The record is from RNAcentral.